This 529-nucleotide ribosomal RNA is filed under the name Escherichia coli. Its description in RNAcentral is "partial 23S ribosomal RNA". It matches the Rfam family "Bacterial large subunit ribosomal RNA", at positions 704 to 1230 of the family's 2925-position model. The record is from RNAcentral. Lineage: Bacteria; Pseudomonadati; Pseudomonadota; Gammaproteobacteria; Enterobacterales; Enterobacteriaceae.
AGGGUAUAGACCCGAAACCCGGUGAUCUAGCCAUGGGCAGGUUGAAGGUUGGGUAACACUAACUGGAGGACCGAACCGACUAAUGUUGAAAAAUUAGCGGAUGACUUGUGGCUGGGGGUGAAAGGCCAAUCAAACCGGGAGAUAGCUGGUUCUCCCCGAAAGCUAUUUAGGUAGCGCCUCGUGAACUCAUCUCCGGGGGUAGAGCACUGUUUCGGCAAGGGGGUCAUCCCGACUUACCAACCCGAUGCAAACUGCGAAUACCGGAGAAUGUUAUCACGGGAGACACACGGCGGGUGCUAACGUCCGUCGUGAAGAGGGAAACAACCCAGACCGCCAGCUAAGGUCCCAAAGUCAUGGUUAAGUGGGAAACGAUGUGGGAAGGCCCAGACAGCCAGGAUGUUGGCUUAGAAGCAGCCAUCAUUUAAAGAAAGCGUAAUAGCUCACUGGUCGAGUCGGCCUGCGCGGAAGAUGUAACGGGGCUAAACCAUGCACCGAAGCUGCGGCAGCGACGCUUAUGCGUUGUUGGGUA